RNAcentral lists this unclassified non-coding RNA (210 nucleotides) under Glomus sp. Its description in RNAcentral is "partial contains 5.8S ribosomal RNA and internal transcribed spacer 2". The stretch from base 1 to 65 matches the Rfam family "5.8S ribosomal RNA", at positions 84 to 154 of the family's 154-position model. The record is from RNAcentral. Lineage: Eukaryota; Fungi; Glomeromycota; Glomeromycetes; Glomerales; Glomeraceae.
GUGAAUCAUCAAAUUUUUGAACGCAAAUUGCACUCUCUUCGGAGAGUAUGCCUGUUUGAGGGUCAGCCUAAAAAAAUCGACAACGUUGCUGUUUCGCGGUGGUGUUCGUCGGAAAUUGGGUUAUCUUAAAUAUUUGGGUUAAGCGACUUAAAAUUUUCUUUUCGUUUCCAUGAAUGGUUCGAAGGUCUAUUUAUUUUAACGUUUAAGGUU